This 246-nucleotide unclassified non-coding RNA is filed under the name plant metagenome. RNAcentral's name for it is "partial contains small subunit ribosomal RNA, internal transcribed spacer 1, and 5.8S ribosomal RNA". The record is from RNAcentral.
UUUCCGUAGGUGAACCUGCGGAAGGAUCAUUAAAAGAUUUAGCAUAUUCUUCUGAAUAUACCUCAUUAACCCAUUCCGAGUACCUUACCCGUUGCUUCCGCGAGGCUGUCCUCACGGCCCUUUGAAGAUUUAUCUUUGGAGAGUCCUUGCGGGAGGUAUACAAUAAACUCUUGCAUUACCAUGUCAUCUGUCUGAAUCUGUUUAAAACAAAUAUUAAAACUUUCAACAACGGAUCUCUUGGUUCUC